Molecule: ribosomal RNA, 301 nt
Filed under: uncultured bacterium
Lineage: Bacteria
Description: partial 16S ribosomal RNA
Rfam family: Bacterial small subunit ribosomal RNA
Source: RNAcentral
CAGCCGCCGCGGUAAAACGGAGGGGGCUAGCGUUGUUCGGAAUUACUGGGCGUAAAGCGCACGUAGGCGGCUUGGUAAGUUAGAGGUGAAAGCCUGGAGCUCAACUCCAGAAUUGCCUUUAAGACUGCCGAGCUAGCAGGUGAGAGAGGUAAGUGGAAUUCCGAGUGUAGAGGUGAAAUUCGUAGAUAUUCGGAAGAACACCAGUGGCGAAGGCGGCUUACUGGCUCAUACUGGACGCUGAGGUGCGAAAGCGUGGGGAGCAAACAGGAUUAGAUACCCGAGUAGUCCCUGUCUCUUAUAC